This 66-nucleotide transfer RNA is filed under the name Xenopeltis hainanensis. RNAcentral describes it as "tRNA-Thr". It matches the Rfam family "tRNA". From Rfam's summary of the family: Transfer RNA (tRNA) molecules are approximately 80 nucleotides in length. Their secondary structure includes four short double-helical elements and three loops (D, anti-codon, and T loops). Further hydrogen bonds mediate the characteristic L-shaped molecular structure. tRNAs have two regions of fundamental functional importance: the anti-codon, which is responsible for specific mRNA codon recognition, and the 3' end, to which the tRNAs corresponding amino acid is attached (by aminoacyl-tRNA synthetases). tRNAs cope with the degeneracy of the genetic code in two manners: having more than one tRNA (with a specific anti-codon) for a particular amino acid; and 'wobble' base-pairing, i.e. permitting non-standard base-pairing at the 3rd anti-codon position. The record is from RNAcentral. Lineage: Eukaryota; Metazoa; Chordata; Lepidosauria; Squamata; Xenopeltidae.
GCCCUAAUAGCUUAAAAUCAAAAGCGUUGUUCUUGUAAACCAAAGCUGGGUUUCCCCCUUAAGGCA